RNA transcript from Zophobas morio, 1201 nucleotides. It is a transcript of the gene named E3 ubiquitin ligase Rnf121-like, with no coding region annotated. The transcript has 8 exons. Lineage: Eukaryota; Metazoa; Arthropoda; Insecta; Coleoptera; Tenebrionidae. The record is from RefSeq and is a predicted model, not a curated record.
GCUAGCUGUGGUCGUGCUUGUGAUUUUAAUUGAAGCCUUCAUAAAAAUGGUUAAUACAACUUUGAACAAAGUGAAUCAAGAGAUAAUAAACGUCCAAAGCGGUAAAUUGAAAAUAUUAUAGACCAACGAAUUUACAGCUGGAGCACGACCAUCAAGGACAUGAACUAAUGCACCUAGAAAUGUUAGUUGUAAUUCUGUUCUGCACCAUUUUUUUGCAGACGAUCCUUUUAGUCUGGCGGAGAAAGGCGUUUACUUCUUACAGAAUUGUCACCAUGCUUGCCGUUUGGGCCCUCCCAGGAGUUUACUGGGUGACUCAGCUUUACUUUAAACCCCUUUGCAUAUGGCUUUUAUUUAGCAUUAUGAAUGGUUAUAUUGUCUACGAUACUUCGAAGAAAACGCUUUCCAGCGCUACACCGAGAUUUGUUUACCUUUAUUUUCUAACGGUUUACAAGUUGUGCUGCUUUACUGGCCUUGCUGGCUAUCUCUCCAUCUUAUUCCAGUUCUUUUUCUGUUUUAUACUUUCGCUGUUUCAGACCACAAGAAUAUUAUUUGAGGGUUCAGUGCGACUGCUUUUCUAUGCCGUUUAUUACGGGUGUCUUGUUCAAGACUUUGCCGAGUUAUGCGCUGAAAAGAUGUCUUCUUCUAUUUAUCACACGGUUAACGAUCUUCCCCUAAUAAGUUUCCCAACUAAUUCUAACAACUGUUGCAUAUGUGGCCGCACGUUUUCUGAAAAUUAUGUAGAUGAAGCGGUUACUUUGACCUGCAAUCAUCGAGCCCACGAAUAUUGCGUCCGUGGUUGGUGCAUUGUAGGCAAGAAAAGCACAUGUCCUUGUUGCAAAGAAAAGGUUGAUCUUAGAAAACUCUCCAAUUCUCCUUGGACUCAGCAAGACGUGUGCUUUUCACUCAUAUUUGAUUGGAUUCGGUAUCUCAUCGCUUGGCAACCGCUCGUAGUUGUGCUUUCUAAAGCAGUGAUUCGAGCUUUAAACCUAAAAUAACCAAUUGAGACCCGCAAGUAAAGCCGCCUUUUUAAUUCUAUUAAAUUCAGUAAACCGGAUUCAGCGGCCACUUUCCUAGAGUUUUAAAGGAGCCAACAACCGACUACGCUUAUAGAAGGCUCAGCCAUCCUGCCUUUCAUUCUUUUUUAGAGAUCCAAAGUGAAUCCAUACUAACUUUACCGCCUCCAGUAAUUAAUCGUUUAAGG